CCAACAGAUGGAGUAUCGCGCUCACGGGAAAGCCCCCCAGAAGGGAGCGAGAGGCCAGAAGGCUGGGGGAGGGGGCGGGUUAUGGAAGGCUCUGAACACCAAGCGGAACAUUUUGUGUUCCUCCUGGAGGUGAUGGGCAGCCACGGGAGCUUAAUGGAGGCUACGGGUGCUAUGGCCACAUCGGCACUUGGGAAAAUUAUUUUGGCAGUUGGAUGGAGGAUGGGCAAGAAUGUAUAACCGGGGUGGUUACAAAUCUAAGCCAUAAGAAUAUGUGAUUUAAACAUUUUUUUAUUGAGGCCGGGGGGGAGGAAACCCCUCAAGCUCUUGUAAUGGCCCAGGGGUCAAGGGACGGGAACGUGGGGUAGGGGAAGCGUCAGAGGAGAGAAGGGAGCUCGUGGGACUGUGAGCGUGAAGAGAACGGGGAGGGGGCGGUGUCCUUACAGUAACAGUGAAGUCUGGAAAAGGGGAGAAUUGGGGGGUUUGUUCAGGAGGGUUGUAUUCUGGACAUCCUAGGUUUAAGAGGUCUGUAGAUAUCCAGUGGAUUUUUUGUUCAGGGGGGUUGUAUUCUGGACAUCCUAGGUUUAAGAGGUCUAUAGAUAUCCAGUGGAUUUUUUGUUCAGGGGGGUUGUAUUCUGGACAUCCUAGGUUUAAGAGGUCUGUAGAUAUCCAGUGGAUUUUUUGUUCAGGGGGGUUGUAUUUUGGACAUCCUAGGUUUAAGAGGUCUGUAGAUAACCAGUGGAUUUUUUGUUCAGGGGGAGUUGUAUUUUGGACAUCCUAGGUUUAAGAGGUCUGUAGAUAUCCAGUGGAUUUUUUGUUCAGAGGAGUUGUAUUUUGGACAUCCUAGGUUUAAGAGGUCUGUAGAUAUCCAGUGGAUUUUUUGUUCAGAGGAGUUGUAUUUUGGACAUCCUAGGUUUAAGAGGUCUGUAGAUAUCCAGUGGAUUUUUUGUUCAGGGGGGUUGUAUUUUGGACA
Long non-coding RNA from Antechinus flavipes (yellow-footed antechinus), 970 nucleotides. RefSeq lists it as uncharacterized. NCBI's taxonomy places the organism in Eukaryota, Metazoa, Chordata, Mammalia, Dasyuromorphia, Dasyuridae. The transcript has 3 exons. The record is from RefSeq and is a predicted model, not a curated record.